GACGAACGCUGGCGGCGUGCCUAAUACAUGCGAGUUGAGCGAUGAAGCUUGGUGCUUGCACCAAUUUGAAGAGCAGCGAACGGGUGAGUAACGCGUGGGGAAUCUGCCUUUGAGCGGGGGACAACAUUUGGAAACGAAUGCUAAUACCGCAUAACGACUUUAAACAUAAGUUUUAAGUUUGAAAGAUGCAAUUGCAUCACUCAAAGAUGAUCCCGCGUUGUAUUAGCUAGUUGGUGAGGUAAAGGCUCACCAAGGCGAUGAUACAUAGCCGACCUGAGAGGGUGAUCGGCCACAUUGGGACUGAGACACGGCCCAAACUCCUACGGGAGGCAGCAGUAGGGAAUCUUCGGCAAUGGACGAAAGUCUGACCGAGCAACGCCGCGUGAGUGAAGAAGGGUUUCGGAUCGUAAAACUCUGUUGGUAGAGAAGAACGUUGGUGAGAGUGGAAAGCUCAUCAAGUGACGGUAACUACCCAGAAAGGGACGGCUAACUACGUG
RNAcentral lists this ribosomal RNA (497 nucleotides) under uncultured bacterium. RNAcentral's name for it is "partial 16S ribosomal RNA". It matches the Rfam family "Bacterial small subunit ribosomal RNA", at positions 28 to 507 of the family's 1533-position model. The record is from RNAcentral.